AUUGAACGCUGGCGGCAUGCCUUACACAUGCAAGUCGAACGGUAACAGGUCUUCGGAUGCUGACGAGUGGCGAACGGGUGAGUAAUACAUCGGAACGUGCCUAGUAGUGGGGGAUAACUACUCGAAAGAGCGGCUAAUACCGCAUGAGAUCUACGGAUGAAAGCAGGGGAUCGCAAGACCUUGUGCUACUAGAGCGGCCGAUGGCAGAUUAGGUAGUUGGUGGGAUAAAAGCUUACCAAGCCGACGAUCUGUAGCUGGUCUGAGAGGACGAUCAGCCACACUGGGACUGAGACACGGCCCAGACUCCUACGGGAGGCAGCAGUGGGGAAUUUUGGACAAUGGGCGAAAGCCUGAUCCAGCAAUGCCGCGUGCAGGAUGAAGGCCUUCGGGUUGUAAACUGCUUUUGUACGGAACGAAAAGCCCUGGGUUAAUACCCUGGGGUCAUGACGGUACCGUAAGAAUAAGCACCGGCUAACUACGUGCCAGCCGCCGCCGUAA
This 498-nucleotide ribosomal RNA is filed under the name uncultured bacterium. RNAcentral's name for it is "partial 16S ribosomal RNA". It matches the Rfam family "Bacterial small subunit ribosomal RNA", at positions 30 to 523 of the family's 1533-position model. The record is from RNAcentral.